RNAcentral lists this long non-coding RNA (1704 nucleotides) under Schizosaccharomyces pombe (fission yeast). Lineage: Eukaryota; Fungi; Ascomycota; Schizosaccharomycetes; Schizosaccharomycetales; Schizosaccharomycetaceae. The record is from RNAcentral.
AAGAAAAGGUAAUUUUUAAAUUGAAUAACUGAAUACAUCAUUAUGCUAUGUCAAGAUGAUGCUUAAUAAGGCUUCAAAUAUUCGGGAACUUGAUGUGAACGUUUAAAGAUAGUUAGGCUCAGAUGAUUAAUGAGGACAGAUUAAAAAAUUUUCCUCUAAGGUCAAAUUGCAUGUACAAACCUAUGAAACAGUUGUUGGAAAUUUUUUAAUCUAUUAUGUAUAAACACGUGUGUUGCAAGAGAGUAGAAACCGUAGUACAGUCUGGAAAAUCUUAACGUACAAAUCACAUGUGAAAAAAUAGGUUCCUUAAAGGAUAAAAAACAAAAAACAAGAAGUACCUAAAAUGCUGGGGGCAUAUUUUUUUUUUCAAAAAUGCAAAAAAGAAAGGGUUGCUAUAAAUAAUUUGAAAUAAACUAAUUAACAGGGAGAUAUUAAAGAAAGGUGAGGUUUCAUGUAUUUACAAUUAGAAAAAACAAGAAAAUUUCGAAAAGUCAUGAUUCUGAAAUAAUAAAAUGAGCACGGUGCAAUUUAGUUUGCGAGUUGAACAAAAUGUAAAGAGAGAAAAAGAGAAAGUAGCAGAAACCAUUACUUCCCAAAUAACCAAAAAAUUAAUCAUCCAUGUUAGCAACCCAAUCGUCAUCAAAAUCGCUUGGCUCUGCAUCGUCCGCAAGUGGUGUAAACACAGAAUCAUCGUCAUUUCCAUAACGAUUCCGACCCGAGACUUCCUUGCCCAAACCAUGAAGUGAUAAAUAAAGCAUGCGCUUCAUAUUUUUGUUAAAAAAAAAGUAGGACAUCCCCCAUAUUAAAGCAUCAUCGCCGUAAGGAUCGCUGUCGCUAUCUGGAGUAUAGGAAUAAACGCUGCAAUCAGACAGGUUGAUAUGACGGUCGAUAAUUUCCCAAAUUCCAUUCACACUCAAUCUACCACGACCAAUGUUAUUAAGUGUAGAAUUAACGGAAUCUACAACACGAGAUAGUGAAGGCUCUUUGUAAAAAUCUGUUGGUUGGAGGCUACUAAAAUCAUGAUCGGGAUAAGAGGCAUUAAGAGUAGCGACAAUGUACAUAAAGGUACGACGAGAAGAGGACUGAUCAAGAGGCCCAAAUGGACUUUGCUGAGUUAGGCUGAAAGCAUAUUCCGGUGAUUUACUACUCGAUAAUGCAAAUAGAUCCUCCUGACACCGAUUCUCUAUAGCUUUAAAGAGUUUCUUGUCAGAAUUUGUACUCUAUAAAAUUGUUAGCACAUUUUAUAUAUCAGUAUAUUCAUGUCUUGGUAAGUUAAUAAAGCAGAAUGCUCCCGAAUCUAAAAACAGACACUCAGACGCGGUACUCCAUUUGGUAAACAACAAUCGUAAUCAUUUUGGUUUCAGAUUUGAAACGUAAAGAAACUAAAUAAAUAAUCACAAAAAAAAACAAUGAUUAUAUAAUUAGCUGAUCUUGUACAAGAGACCAAAAAGAACCAAAAUUGUUCAACUUAGUGAUUUGACCACGCAAGAAAAGAGGAUCAUUAUUAAAAGCAUAUGUCAAAUUCAAGAACCAAUGUACAAUUUUCCCUUUACCAGACUAACCAAGCUUACAAGUUAAAUUUACCUUGGUUGUAUAGAGCUCGCACUUUCCGCGUAUGCGACAAUCAUCGGCAUCAAAUGAUAAGGCAUUAUUGACUGUAUCUAAAUCGGCAAGCUCAAGAAACUGGUCACAAAAACAGGGUUU